UCGCAUUGUCAAAAUGAUAAC
This 21-nucleotide non-coding RNA is filed under the name Caenorhabditis elegans. Lineage: Eukaryota; Metazoa; Nematoda; Chromadorea; Rhabditida; Rhabditidae. The record is from RNAcentral.